Molecule: long non-coding RNA, 3618 nt
Organism: Haemorhous mexicanus (house finch)
Lineage: Eukaryota; Metazoa; Chordata; Aves; Passeriformes; Fringillidae
Exons: 2
Source: RefSeq, a predicted model, not a curated record
UGGGAGAGGGAGGAGUUGGUGGUGAGGGGGUGGGGUUGGGUUGGAAGUGACCAAAAUGGGUUGGAAUUGGUAAAAAAUGGGUUGGAAUUGGUAAAAAUGGGUUGGAAGAGAGAAAAAGGGGUUGGAAUUGGUAAAAAUGGGUUGGAACUGGUGAAAAUGGGUUGGAAGAGAGAAAAAGGGGUUGGAGGAGACAAAAAUGGGUUGGAAGAGACAAAAAAAGGGUUGGAAUUGGUAAAAAAUGGGUUGGAAUUGGAAAAAUGGGUUGGAAGAGAGAAAAAGGGGUUGGAAGAGAGAAAAAUGGGUUGGAAUUGGUAAAAAAUGGGUUGGAAGAGAGAAAAAUGGGUUGGAAUUGGUAAAAAAUGGGUUGGAAUUGGUAAAAAAUGGGUUGGAAUUGGUAAAAAAUGGGUUGGAAGAGACGAAAAUGGGUUGGAAUUGGCAAAAAAUGGGUUGGAAUUGGUAAAAAAUGGGUUGGAAGAGAGAAAAAUGGGUUGGAAGAGAGAAAAAUGGGUUGGAAGAGAGAAAAAGGGGUUGGAAUUGGUAAAAAUGGGUUGGAAUUGGUAAAAAAUGGAUUGGAAUUGGUAAAAAAUGGGUUGGAAUUGGAAAAAUGGGUUGGAGGAGAGAAAAAUGGGUUGGAAGAGACAAAAAUGGGUUGGAAUUGGAAAAAUGGGUUGGAGGAGAGAAAAACGGGUUGGAAGUGACCAAAAAUGGGGUAGAAGAGACCAAAAAUGGGUUGAAAGAGACCAAAAUGGGUUGGGAGAGACAAAAAUGGGUUGGAAAAGACCAAAAAUGGGUUGGGAGAGAGAAAAAUGGGUUGGAAGAGACAAAAAUGGGUUGGAAUUGGUAAAAAUGGGUUGGAAGAGACCAAAAUGGGUUGGAAGUGACAAAAAUGGAAUGGAAUUGGUAAAAAUGGGUUGGAAGAGACAAAGAUGGGUUGGAAGUGACAAAAAUGGGUUGGGAGAGACCAAAAUGGGUUGGAAGAGACCAAAACGGGUUGGAAGAGACCAAAAAUGGGUUGGAAUUGGAAAAAUGGGUUGGAGGAGAGAAAAAUGGGUUGGAAGUGACCAAAAAAGGGUUGGGUGAGACCAAAAUGGGUUGGAAGAGACCAAAUUGGGUUGGAAGUGACAAAGAUGGGUUGGAAUUGGUAAAAAUGGCUUGGAAGAGAGAAAAAUGGGGUAGAAGAGACCAAAAAUGGGUUGGGAGAGACAAAAAAUGGGUUGGGAGAGACAAAAAUUGGUGGUGAGGAAACAGGAUUGGCUUGGAGCCAUCAAGAAUUGGUUGAGAGUGACAAAAAUGGGUUGGAAGAGACAAAGGUUGGUGGGAAAGUGACAAAAGUUGGUGGUGAGUGAAUGGAAUUGGCUUGGAACCAUCAAAAAUGGGUUGGAAGUGACAAAAUGGGUUGGGAGAGACCAAAAUGGGUUGGAAGAGACCAAAGUUGGGGUGGAAUUGGUGAAAAUGGAUUGGAAUUGGCAAAAAUGGGUUGGAAGAGACCAAAAAUGGGUUGGAAGAGCCAAAAAAUGGGUUGGAGGAGAGAAAAAUGGGUGGGAAGGAGACAAAAAUGGGGUAGAAGAGACCAGAAAUGGGUUGGAAGAGACCAAAAAUGGGGUAGAAGAGGCAAAAAUGGGUGAGAAGAGACAAAGGUUGGUGGGAAAGUGACAAAAGUUGGUGGUGAGGGAAUGGAGUUGGGUUGGAACCAUCAAAAAUGGGGUGGAAGGGACAAAAAUGGGGUGGAAGGGACAAAAAUGGGUUGGAAGAGACAAAAAUGGGUUGGGAGAGACCAAAGUUGGUGCGGACCAGAUGGAGUUGGCUUGGAACCAUCAAAAAUGGGUGAGAAGAGACAAAGGUUGGUGGGAGAGUGACAAAAGUUGGUGGUGAGGAAAUGGAGUUGGGUUGGAAGCAUCAAAAAUGGGUUGGGAGAGACCAAAAUGGGGUGGAAUUGGUAAAAAUGGGUUGAAAGUGACAAAAAAUGGGUUGGGAGAGAUCAAAAUGGGUUGGAAGAGACAAAAAAGGGUUCGAGGAGAGAAAAAUGGGUUGGAAGAGACAAAGAUGGGGUGGAAUUGGUAAAAAUGGCUUGGAGGAGAGAAAAAUGGGUUGGAAGAGACCAAAAAUGGGUUGGAAGUGACAAAGAUGGGUUGGAAUUGGAAAAAUGGGUUGGAAGUGACAAAAAUGGGUUGGGAUUGGUAAAGAUGGGUUGGAAGAGACCAAGAAUGGGUUGGAAGAGACGAAAAAGGGGUUGGAAUUGGUAAAAAUGGGUUGGAAUUGGAAAAAUGGGUUGGAAGAGACAAAGAUGGGUUGGAAGAGAGAAAAAUGGGUUGGAAGAGAGAAAAACGGGUUGGAAGAGACAAAAAUGGGGUAGAAUAGACCAAAAAUGGGUUGGGAGAGAGAAAAAUGGGUUGGAAGAGACAAAGGUUGGUGGGAAAGUGACAAAAGUUGGUGGUGAGUGAAUGGAAUUGGCUUGGAACCAUCAAAAAUGGGUUGGAAGGGACAAAAAUGGGGUGGAAGGGACAAAGAUGGGGUGGAAUUGGCAAAAAUGGGUUGGAAGAGACCAAAAAUAGGUUGGAAGAGCCAAAAAUGGGUUGGAAUUGGAAAAAUGGGUUGGAGGAGAGAAAAAUGGGUGGGAAAGAGACAAAAAUGGGGUAGAAGAGACCAGAAAUGGGUUGGAAGAGACCAAAAUGGGUUGGAAGAGACCAAAAAUGGGGUAGAAGAGGCAAAAAUGGGUUGGAAGAGACAUAGGCUGGUGGGAAAGUGACAAAAGUUGGUGGUGAGCAAAUGGAGUUGGGUUGGAACCAUCAAAAAUGGGUUGGAAGAGACAAAAAUGGGUUGGGAGAGACCAAAGUUGGUGGGGACCAGAUGGAGUUGGCUUGGAACCAUCAAAAAUGGGUGAGAAGAGACAAAGGUUGGUGGGAAAGUGACAAAAGUUGGUGGUGAGGGAAUGGAGUUGGGUUGGAAGCAUCAAAAAUGGGUUGGGAGAGACCAAAAUGGGUUGGAAUUGGUAAAAAUGGGUUGAAAGUGACAAAAAAUGGGUUGGGAGAGACCAAAAUGGGUUGGAAGAGACAAAAAAGGGUUCGAGGAGAGAAAAAUGGGUUGGAAGAGACAAAGAUGGGGUGGAAUUGGUACAAAUGGCUUGGAGGAGAGAAAAAUGGGUUGGAAGAGAGAAAAACGGGUUGGAAGAGACAAAAAUGGGGUAGAAGAGACCAAAAAUGGGUUGGAAGAGACCAAAAUGGGUUGGAAGAGACAAAAAUGGGUUGGAAUUGGUAAAAAUGGGUUGGAAUUGGUAAAAAAUGGGUUGGGAGAGAGAAAAAGGGGUUGGAAGUGACCAAAAAGGCUUGGAAUUGGUAAAAAUGGGUUGGAAGAGAGAAAAAGGGGUUGGAAGAGAGAAAAAGGGGUUGGAAUUGGUAAAAAUGGGUUGGAAGAGACAAAGAUGGGUUGGAAUUGGAAAAAUGGGUUGGAGGAGACAAAAAUGGGUUGGAAUUGGUAAAAAUGGGUUGGAGGAGAGAAAAAUGGGUUGGAAGAGAGAAAAAUGGGUUGGAAGAGAGAAAAAUGGGUUGGAAGAGAGAAAAAGGGGUGGGAAUUGGUAAAAAUGGGUUGGAAGAGACCAAAAUGGGUUGGAAGAGACCAAAA